Long non-coding RNA from Callithrix jacchus (white-tufted-ear marmoset), 1972 nucleotides. RefSeq lists it as uncharacterized. Lineage: Eukaryota; Metazoa; Chordata; Mammalia; Primates; Cebidae. The record is from RefSeq and is a predicted model, not a curated record.
GGCUGCGGACCACAUUUCCCAAGAACACCGCGUUUCUGGCCCCACCCAGUGUCCCAGAGUCCCUUUAGAGCUGGAAGCUGGGCUCCUCCCCGCGUUUCUUUCUGGGCCGCGGAGCUGUCCGCUCUAAAAACUGAGGGAGUUGUAGUUCAGGGAGGGGAAGAACUUGCACCGAGGGCUGUUAGGAACGAGUUUCAGGUUCGAAUCCCAUCUUACGGAAGAGAUGUGGUCUUGCUCUGUUGCUCAGGCUGAGUGCAGUGACUAUUCACAGGCUGGAUCCAGUGUACUGCAGUCUUGAACUCCUGGCUUACAGUCUUGCUGGUUUCUGAGAGGCAGGACAAGAAAGGCCACCAUGCUCUACAACUAGGUCCCAGGAAUUGGCUAACCCUGGCAAGGGAAGUCCCUUCAAAGUCAGCAAGGCUUCAUAUGUCAAAGCAUCGGAAUACAGAAAAUAAAAGACAUGGUUAACAGAGGGCACAAGCAGGACCAAAGUGCAUAAAUAAGCUGUACAGGCAGAUGGCCCAGCCUUUUAUGGCAUGAUGGUGUGACACCUUCCCUCAGUGCACACCUAUGAUAAUGGAGAACCAAUUAAUGGAGGAAGAACAAGUCCAACCUUGGUUCAUGGAAGAGUUGGCCCAAUAUGUGGGUACCAGCUGAAAAUGAACUGCUCCUACAUCACAGCUCUAUUUAGGAGUAGCCUUGAAAGAAACUGAUGAGAGGAUAUCCUUCCAAUGGACAGAGCUUCUGGUGAACAUCUGGGCAUUUAUUUUAUGUAGAAAGAGAAGUGGUUGGAAGUAAGAAUACACAUGAACAAAGAUGGCUUGCUUAGAUGGUUGGUCAAGGGGCUUAGAAGAUUGAAAGACUGGAGGCAAGGAGGUCUGGGGGAAAAUGCAGGUGGAUAGAGCCAUAUUAGGGAACAUGAAGUGUGUCUUAGUCUGCUAUGACAGAAUAUCACAGAGUGUGUAAUUUAUAAUGAACAGAACUUUAUUGGCUCAUGGUUCUAGAGGCUUGGAAGUCCAAUAUCAAGCAGCCGGUAUCUUGUGAGGGCCUUCUUGCUGCAUCAUCUCAUGUCAGAAGAGUGAAGACGGGGAGAGAGGGGAUAAAAAGGGCUGAAGUUCCCCUUUGUUAACAAGCCCACAUUCAUGAUCACAGCAUUGAUCCAUUCACUCUGCUCUCAAACCUAAUCACUUCUCAUCAGGCCUCACCUCCCAACACUGUAGUUAUUUUAUUGGGGGUUAAUUUUCCAACAUCAUGCUUUUUGGGGGACACAUUCAAACCAUUGCAAGGUGUGACAAUCUUUGUGUCAUAUGUUAAUGUUCACCACAGAGGAUCCACUACAGAAGUAUGAAACUACCAAGCAGCAGAAAGACUAGUUCAGUUGUCAUCAGCCCAUCUCUGCCACUAGCUACUCGAGUGCUGGCACAAUGCAUGAUAGAGUACCCAUGGAAGAAGGCAUGGAGGCUAUGCAUGGGUGGAUGUCCACAUGCUCCCAUUCUCCAAGGCUGAUCUAACUAUUGAUUCUUUGAACACCCAACCUACUAGCAAAAGAACACUGCUGAAUGUCUGGUGCAGUAUCAUCACUGGAGGAGCCCAUCAAGCUCAGUAACAAGUUAAUUACAUAGGGCACUUUCCACUGUGGAAGGAUCAGAGAUGGAUCUUAACUGGAAUAGACACAUGUUUGGGAUUCAACUUUAUCUGUUCUACCUGCAAAAUCUUGGAAAGCAGUACUCUCUGAGAGUUCCAACGCAGUGUUCCAAGUAACAUUCCUGUUAUCUGGAGGGUUUCAAGAGUCCAGGAAUGGAGGUCCCUAAACAAGAUUUGAGUUCGCAUGGUUUGAAUUCCAGUUCUGCUACAUGCUCCCCAUAUGUUCUCAAAUGAAUCAUUUAACCACUACCUCGCUUCUGUUUUCUUCCCUUUUUUAGUUUAAAUUUUUAAUUUGUAAUUGACAAAUCAUAAUUGUAUAUAAUUUAUUGGG